Ictalurus punctatus (channel catfish) is the source of this 1631-nucleotide long non-coding RNA. RefSeq lists it as uncharacterized. The record is from RefSeq and is a predicted model, not a curated record. The transcript has 4 exons. Lineage: Eukaryota; Metazoa; Chordata; Actinopteri; Siluriformes; Ictaluridae.
UUUCCAGUUGAUAAUUCUGAAACGCUCGUGAUUCGGGUCAAAAAUUGAUACCAAAAACUUUAAUUCGGCCUUGAGCCCCGACACGGACAUCUUCCACUCAUCUCCAGCAGGCCGCAGGGGAAGCGGGCGAGCAACUAGCCUACUAGCUAACAACUAGAACCGCUCUGAGUAUACCCAGGGAAGGUUCUUGAUCCACUGCAUUCCUGACAAGGAAAAAUGUGCUUACAGAAGAUGAAUGAAUGAAUGAACGAUUGAAUAAGUGAAAGCAAGUCUACAGCUACCCAAUGACACAACAACAACAACAACAACAACAACAGCAACGACAAAAACAACAGGAAAAAAAGCAAAGCAGAGCCAGGUUCCCCGUGUAUCCCAGGCAGCAUCGGGCACAAGGCAGGGUACACCCUGGACAGACAGGGUGCCAGUCCAUUGCAGGGCUGCCCGCAUCAAAUUCAAGGCCUUGAUGCUCGCCUACAAGAACUUGUCUGGAACAGCACCCUCCUACCUCAACUCUCAACUGAAGGUUUACGUUCUCUCACGCAAUCUGCGAUCAGUCAACGACCGGUGCUUAAUAGUGCCUACUCAGCAUGGCUCAAGUUCCCUUUCAAGAACAUUCACGCUAACUGUUCCUCAGUGGUGGAAUGAACUUCCAACCUCAAUCCCGACCGCAGAAUCUCUCACAAUCUUCAAAAAACAUUAAAGACCCACCUCUUCCGUGAACACCUAUCCAACCCAUAAAAAAAUUUAAAUUAAAUAAAAUUUAAAUAAUAAUAAUAAUAAUAAUUUACACUGGCACUUUCACCUCUACUCUUUGCUUCUUUUGGAACUCAAUUAAUGGAUAUUGUAUGGUAACACUACUUGUAUUAUUCUCUGCUUGAUAUAUCGCUUUGCUUGUAUUUUCACAUUUGUAAGUCACUUUGGAUAAAAGCGUCUGCUAAAUGAAUAAAUGUAAAUGUAAAUGUAACAUUGAGAGCACAGCAGGGGAAGUGGUGCAGUAUUUGUGCUGUCAGCAUCUGUGCUCCUUGAAUGUGUUUCUAUUGCAAUAACUAAAAUGUGGGCAAAAUUGGGUGGUUAGUAAUUGUAUAUUUGUGUAUAAGUCAUAUUUUUAUUCAUUAGUCCUGUUACUUUUUUGGCUGAAGGUUUGUUUAAAUGGUGGUUUUGAUGCCUUUCUAAAAAUAGUGGACGAUUAAGUCUACUGACAAAAGCCCUCAGUUUGUCAUUGUCCCCCUCGGCUGCUCUGACUACAUUUGGGAAAUAAUCGUCAUUGCUGACCGGGUCUUGGAAUGCAAGUUUUUCCACAAAGUACGUUGGAUUCUGCCACAACAUUAUCAGGACAUCAACAUUUCCAUAUUGAAUUUGACAGCUGGAGAUGCUAUGUGAGAGGUCUUAAAAACAAAACCUUCCAAAAGUACUGGGGUCCAGACCUCUGUGUCCUCAUAGCUAGUUAUGGCCAUGACUCUACUGAUGGAAACAUUCUUGAAAGAUGGAGUCAAAGCCACACAAUGGCACUUAAAACAGAAAUGUCAUGCAGAAGGGAGUAAAAUCAGUGAGCUUAUGUAUGUUUGUCUCAUUCUGCUUAGCAAGAAAUGCAAAAGGUGUGCAAUAAGCAGCCCUGCUUACAUUAAAAUGUC